RNAcentral lists this long non-coding RNA (282 nucleotides) under Sorghum bicolor (sorghum). RNAcentral describes it as "long non-coding RNA (SBIC_LNC011605)". The record is from RNAcentral. Lineage: Eukaryota; Viridiplantae; Streptophyta; Magnoliopsida; Poales; Poaceae.
AUAAAACAAAAGGAAUAAUUUUGGGAACUAAACAAGGCCUAUGUUCAAAGGAAGUAGGCCAUGUGAAGAGAAAGGCUGGACCAGAUAACACCAACAUAGAGAAAAAAAAGCUACUUAUUUCUUGGAAACCACACUGGGAACAGAUCUUGCGGUCAAAAUUGAACAGUAUGAUAGUUGAGGUACCAUUUCGAGGGCAAAAUUAGGAAAAAUAGAAGAGUCAAGUACCUAUUCAUUAUAUAAUGAAUCAAAUCAGAUUAUUUUAAAAUAAAGGAGCUGUCUUUC